UGUGAAUAUUGUCAUGCUGACCAAGAGGCUCACAGAACUGGAGAGAAUUUCCAGGUGGAGAAGAGUGAAAUGUUCCUGUACUUUAAGCAAGACAACAUUUAAGGAGUAUGAUUGGAAUCUAUGAUUGUCUUACAUUCAGUCUUCCUAGAAUCAUGUGGAGGGCCUAGAAUCAUACCUGGGAGAGA
Molecule: non-coding RNA, 185 nt
Organism: Oryctolagus cuniculus (rabbit)
Lineage: Eukaryota; Metazoa; Chordata; Mammalia; Lagomorpha; Leporidae
Source: RefSeq, a predicted model, not a curated record